RNAcentral lists this unclassified non-coding RNA (595 nucleotides) under Penicillium ludwigii. Its description in RNAcentral is "sequence contains 18S rRNA gene, ITS1, 5.8S rRNA gene, ITS2, 28S rRNA gene". The stretch from base 220 to 373 matches the Rfam family "5.8S ribosomal RNA". The record is from RNAcentral. Lineage: Eukaryota; Fungi; Ascomycota; Eurotiomycetes; Eurotiales; Aspergillaceae.
AGUCGUAACAAGGUUUCCGUAGGUGAACCUGCGGAAGGAUCAUUACCGAGUGAGGGCCCUCUGGGUCCAACCUCCCACCCGUGUUUAUCAUACCUAGUUGCUUCGGCGGGCCCGCCGUCAUGGCCGCCGGGGGGCACCCGCCCCCGGGCCCGCGCCCGCCGAAGCCCCCCUGAACGCUGUCUGAAGAUUGCAGUCUGAGCGAUUAGCUAAAUCAGUUAAAACUUUCAACAACGGAUCUCUUGGUUCCGGCAUCGAUGAAGAACGCAGCGAAAUGCGAUAAGUAAUGUGAAUUGCAGAAUUCAGUGAAUCAUCGAGUCUUUGAACGCACAUUGCGCCCCCUGGUAUUCCGGGGGGCAUGCCUGUCCGAGCGUCAUUGCUGCCCUCAAGCACGGCUUGUGUGUUGGGCCCCCGCCCCCCGGCUCCCGGGGGGCGGGCCCGAAAGGCAGCGGCGGCACCGCGUCCGGUCCUCGAGCGUAUGGGGCUUCGUCACCCGCUCUGUAGGCCCGGCCGGCGCCCGCCGGCGACCCCCCUCAAUCUUUCUCAGGUUGACCUCGGAUCAGGUAGGGAUACCCGCUGAACUUAAGCAUAUCAAUAA